UACGUAGGCAGCGAGCGUUGUUCGGAGUUACUGGGCGUAAAGCGUGCGCAGGCGGUCUGUUAAGACCGAUGUGAAAUCCCCGGGCUUAACCUGGGAACUGCAUUGGUGACUGGCAGGCUUUGAGUGUGGCAGAGGGAGGUAGAAUUCCACGUGUAGCAGUGAAAUGCGUAGAGAUGUGGAGGAAUACCGAUGGCGAAGGCAGCCUCCUGGGCCAACACUGACGCUCAUGCACGAAAGCGUGGGGAGCAAACAGG
This 254-nucleotide ribosomal RNA is filed under the name uncultured bacterium. RNAcentral's name for it is "partial 16S ribosomal RNA". It matches the Rfam family "Bacterial small subunit ribosomal RNA", at positions 524 to 776 of the family's 1533-position model. The record is from RNAcentral.